RNAcentral lists this ribosomal RNA (357 nucleotides) under Lactobacillus sp. RNAcentral's name for it is "bacterial SSU rRNA". It matches the Rfam family "Bacterial small subunit ribosomal RNA", at positions 1 to 332 of the family's 1533-position model. The record is from RNAcentral. Lineage: Bacteria; Bacillati; Bacillota; Bacilli; Lactobacillales; Lactobacillaceae.
CAAAAUGAGAGUUUGAUCCUGGCUCAGGACGAACGCUGGCGGCGUGCCUAAUACAUGCAAGUCGAGCGAGCAGAACCAGCAGAUUUACUUCGGUAAUGAUGCUGGGGACGCGAGCGGCGGAUGGGUGAGUAACACGUGGGGAACCUGCCCCAUAGUCUGGGAUACCACUUGGAAACAGGUGCUAAUACCGGAUAAGAAAGCAGAUCGCAUGAUCAGCUUAUAAAAGGCGGCGUAAGCUGUCGCUAUGGGAUGGCCCCGCGGUGCAUUAGCUAGUUGGUAAGGUAACGGCUUACCAAGGCAAUGAUGCAUAGCCGAGUUGAGAGACUGAACGGCCACAUUGGGACUGAGACACGGCCC